UACGGAGGAUCCAAGCGUUAUCCGGAUUUAUUGGGUUUAAAGGGUGCGUAGGCGGAAUAGUAAGUCAGUGGUGAAAGCCUGUCGCUUAACGACAGAACUGCCAUUGAUACUGCUAAUCUUGAGUAUAAUUGAAGUGGGCGGAAUGUGUCGUGUAACGGUGAAAUGCUUAGAUAUGACACAGAACACCAAUUGCGAAGGCAGCUCACUAAACUAUAACUGACGCUGAGGCACGAAAGCGUGGGGAUCAAACAGG
Molecule: ribosomal RNA, 253 nt
Filed under: uncultured bacterium
Lineage: Bacteria
Description: partial 16S ribosomal RNA
Rfam family: Bacterial small subunit ribosomal RNA
Source: RNAcentral